RNAcentral lists this ribosomal RNA (440 nucleotides) under uncultured bacterium. RNAcentral's name for it is "partial 16S ribosomal RNA". It matches the Rfam family "Bacterial small subunit ribosomal RNA", at positions 338 to 795 of the family's 1533-position model. The record is from RNAcentral.
CCUACGGGAGGCAGCAGUAGGGAAUAUUGCUCAAUGGGGGAAACCCUGAAGCAGCAACGCAGCGUGGAGGAUGAAGGUCUUAGGAUUGUAAACUCCUUUUGUUAGGGAAGAUUAUGUCGGUAUGUAAAGAAUAAGCAACGGCCAAUUCCGUGCCAGCAGCCGCGGUAAUACGGAGGGUGCAAGGGUUAAUCGGAUACACUGGGCGUAAAGAGUGCGUAGGCGGGUGAAUAAGUCAGAUGUGAAAUCCUGUAGGUUAACUACAGAACUGCAUUUGAAACUGUUACUCUGGAGUGUGGGAGAGGUAGGUGGAAUUCGUGGUGUAGCGGUAAAAUGCGUAGAGAUCAAGAAGAAUACUGAUUGCGAAGGCGGCUUACUGGAACAUUACUGACGCUGAUGCACGAAAGCGUGGGGAUCAAACAGGAUUAGAUACCCGUGUAGUC